ACUAAUAAAAUUGGUACUAUCUGGACUACUUCAAUUUUUACAGAAACUUUUUUUUACAGUAAUUCAUUUAAUAAAAAAAAUUGGCAGAAGCAUUGCCAGUGAUAUAAGAUUCUAUAAAUUAUGGUAUAAUCUCUAUAAAGAUGCGCUAUACAGAAAAUCACCACUAGAUGCAUUCAAGAUGGUUAAAUCUAAUUAAUAUUGGAAAGGGAAAAACAUCGGAUGAUUUUCCCUCAACAUUUACAAACAUAUAGGUAGAUACACACAUAGAUAUAUUGAUAUAUAUAUAUAUAUAUAUAUCUCUCUCUCAAAAGAAUACUUCUCAAUUUUAACUAUCACCCAGUAAAAUAUCAAGAUGCAUGCCAUUUUUGAAACAAAUGGAUGUUCUUCUUGUGAAAUUUUAUUUAAAAAUUUGUAUUUGAUUUAGUAAUGAGAGUAUAAAAAUUUAAUUUUAAAAACUGAAAGUCUAACUUCUGAAGUUAAAAAUUUUCAAUUUUUAUUGUUGAACUUUCAUUCUCUUGUAGUUGACUCAAAAUAUAAAUUUUUAAAAUAAAUUUCACUUAAGAUAAUUCAUAUAUUUCAAUCAUACCUCAUAAUUAUUUGCUUCUUUACCGAGCUAAUUAGCAUCGCCAAGAAGCGUGAAUUCCUCUAAGCUCCUGAAAUUCUCCCAAAGCCUCACCCAGACCUUGGCCUGGUACACCUUCGUCGUGUGCCCGUCCGAAGCCUCCAAAGUAAUGUAGUACCUCAUGCCUCCAACAACUUGCUGCUUUACAUUCACAAUCUUCUUGAACUGGAGCAACGCAUUCUGCAACAUGCCCAUCUCGAAAUUUAUUAUUACAAGUCGAGACAUAAAAUGUUCAGAGCUGAUAAAAAUCGAAUAUUCAGUUGCCCAAUUAGAUAUAAAGACAGUGUAGCGUAUAAUAUUGUUAAUAAAGUAAUCUAAGGUUAAUCCUUUCUACAGUUUGGAUUCUUGAAUUGUGUAAUCAAGUGAAAAAUUUCUAGACUAGGGAGGCAAUAUAUGUCCCUGAUAGGCAAUGACUAUCAGGAGCUCCCCAGUUCUCUGUUUCCUCAACUUCAACAGGAUGAACACUUUAUUCAACUAAAUGAUAGUGAAAAUUCCAGUUUGUAUUGAAUUUCACAUGAAACUCUAUCCAAUAAAUGUUUUUCUUAUCAUUCUAAUAUAAUUUGGAUCAUAAACAGAUAUGAACUUGCAGAUAAAUUUUAUGACAUUUAUAAAUUUAGUUCAAACAUAGCUAUAGUAAACUUGAACUCACAAAAAAUAAGCCAGUAACAUACAUCCUUACAAUUAAGGAUUAUGAUUGUUAUGACUGUCUAACCUAUAGGCAGUAUUAGUAGAAAUUCAACAGAAUAACUAAAUCAAUAUCACCAAAAUUUUUGUACAACAAAAAAAAAGUCUCUAGAGCAUCUUUUCUUUUCUAUCUAUGCGGAAUUCGCGAUGGAAUGUCACAAAUCUAUUUAUAGGUUAGAGACCUUCGGUAUCUUCUAUCAUGAUUUCUUCAUCUACUGAACAUAGAGUCGGUAGCCUAUUAUAAGCAUAAGAUUACCUCUGUGGAAAAAGAUUUAGACAAAAUAAUUGCUCAUGUGCACAGGACGAUGAUGACUUCAAUACUGUCAAAUUACAAUAUAAUUGAGAAAUCACCGAUGAGUUACCUGCAACUAUUUCCUUCUUAGGUUGUUCAUGGAUUAAUUUUUGAUUAAUUUCCUUUUUCUCGUACAAACUACUUAGAAGGAAACGACUCAUAUAUAAAGCAUCAAAUCUUACAAUAUCAAGGUUAACAACUCGAACUAAUUGCAGAAGAAAGAAACAACAGAAACUGCUGAAAAAUUUUGGAGAAACAAGUACAUACAUACAUUUAUAUAAGCUAUCAGCUGAAGAUUUUAAUUAAGCUAACAGAACUCCUGUUUGCCGAUAUAUAAAAUUGUAUGUUUAUAGUUAUUAUCUCGUCGAACUGCAUGAUUAGAUGCUUGAAUUUCAACAUUAUCUUAAUUCGCUAGUAGAAAUUUUCUAGGGAAACAAACAGAAAGCAGGAAGAAAGAAUUGAAGAAAGCAGAGUCACUACCUCUUUCCUGUUGUGCUCAUCGACGGCGAACCGAGCAAGGUUCUGGAACUCAAGACUGUUAGCAUUUCCCUCGACGUCCGUAAUACCACCGCUAAUAGAUCCCUUCAUUUUCUUUUGUUUUUCUGUGUUUCUCUCUCCGAAUCUGAUUUUCUUCUCGUUUGCUGCUCUGAUUUUGGUGACCUCCGUAACCGCUAGCAUUCCCGUAUUUAAAGGAUGAGUAGGCCUAAACCAGAGAGCUGAAAAUACCAAAAAGUACAUGUCUAACAUGAAAAAAAGUUUUUCACACUUAAAUUCUUUUCCUUAUUUAAAACUUCUUUUUCUAAUCAUAAAAUCACGUUUAGAUGUGUUUUUGUAACAGAAAAAAAGGUUACCGAACUUACUAGUUGAGAUUCUGUAACGAAUUUUUCUUGAAUUUGUGUCGAUUUUUGGGGAGGAGAAUAGGAGAACGGAGAAAUGGCUGUUCUGAAACGCAGUGAUAACUGGAGGAGGAGAAAACAGUCUGAAAAGAGUGGCCAUCACCACAGAGAGACAGAGAGAGAUGUAAAAGGAAGAGGCAGGAGGUGGAAAGAGAGAGAAACAGGGAAAGAGAAGACAGAAAAAGAUGCCUUUUGGCGCAACUUUAAAAAUGGAGGUAUUUCUGGUCAAGUGAAAAUUAUAAUUUAGAGGGAAUAUACGCUUGAAGAGUAACUUAAAAGAUUAUUAAUUUAUUAAUUGCAAUUUAAAUAAAAUUUAUCUUUUAAUUAAAUAUAAUUUAUAUUUAUUUUUUAAAUAUAUAAUAUAUAAAAAAUUAGUGACAAUUUAUUUUUUAAAAAAUUUAAUUUAUGUUUAUUUUUUUAAAUAGUGAUAUUAAUUUAAAUAUAAAUCUAUUUGAAUGCAUAUUAAAUUAUUAAUUUUUGAAAUUAAUGAAACUAAUAAAAAUUUAAGUCUAUUUUAUUUAGAAAAACUCAAAUAAUAUAAAAUAAAUUCUAUUUAUUGUAUUUUGCACCAUAUCCAACAAUUUAUUAAAGAAAAAUCUAAGUGUUCAUAAUUUUUUCUUAUGAAUAUUGUAUAAGAGGCCUGCGAAAUCAUUAGAGUUUGAGAAAAACACUUGUAAAAUAAAAUUUGUGUAGGAUUUGUUGAAGAAUCAUAAAUUUAAGUGAUGAUUUGGAGAAAAGAUCGUAAGCACAAAAUCGACAACAAACUUUUAUAAAAUUGAGUAUAUAAUCCCUAUACUUACGUGUUUUUCUGGUUGGGUUUAUUACUUUAUAAAUAUUAAUUAUUUAAAAUUAAUUUAAAUUAAUUUAAAGUUUUAAAAACCCAAUUUACCAAAUUAUUUAAUAAAUUUCAACCACCGAUAACAUUUAUAUUAAGAUUGGAAUUAAAAAAGAAUUGAAAAUAGUUGUAUGAUGAAGUGGAGGCACGCGGGUCGUCCGAUCACACAUGUUUAGAAAAUUCAUCUGCAUCGUUCGAUCCGGAGAACGUGGAGGUACGUGGGUCAUUUGAUUGAACUCAUUUAAGAAAUCAAUUUAGGUCAUUUGUGCGCAAAAGUGGUCAUGAGCCGUCUGAUUGAUCUAACAUGCAAAUUUGCGACGUGGGCUUCCCGCGCAGAACCCAUGUUGAUGUGGCAUAUCACGAUUCGCUAUAUUGCUGACAUGACUGUCCUACAUAGUCCGUUUCUUUUAAUUUAUAAAGUAACUUCAUUUAUAAAGGAGAAAUAUUUUAUUCAUAAAUGGGAUAUAAAUGUAGAACAUAAAUGUAUUAGAAUAAAUUUUAUGGAAAUAAGAAUGAUAGAUGAGAGCAGAGAGAUUGAGCGAAAAGAAGAUGAACAGCACGAUUCGAGGAGGAUUAGGAGGAGGAAUCCUCGUUGGAAAUCCUCGGGGUCGAGAAGGAAGGACAACUGCUGUAGACGAACAUUCAUUCAGUAACAAGAGGUAAGAUCGAUUUGCUCUUACAACACGAAUUCGAAAUAGGUGCGAAUAAAUUCCUUAAAUCGCCAAAUGAUAAACUGCUUAUGAUUUCUGGUGUAUAUAAUAUGUGCAUCGAUGAUUGAUGGUGUUAAAAUUGAUAAAAAAAUGUUAGUAAAAUUUUGAUCGUUUUAACCCGAAAGAAAACUAGUAUGCUGAAAUUUUAAGUGUAUCAUCUGCCGUAAAUUUUAGUAGUCUCUGGAAUAGUAUGGGAGUACAUGGUGUUGAAUGAAGAGAUCUGAAGGGUUAACACAAAUUCAUAGGAAACGGCAUCGUACUAGGAAGAGUGUAGGAAUUCAUCUUGCCUCCUAUUGAUUUAAAUUAUGAACUGCCUGAACUGAAUUCUAUUUGGCCGGGUGAAAGGGGUAGGAUGAUACUGCAGAAUGGUAAAACAUAAAGUAAAUGCCAGCGAGUUACCAUUUGUAUUUAAGAUUAUUGAAUCUAUACUUACAAGAGAUUCGAAAACAAUCACGACGAAUUGUGAAGUAUCAUUUGCAGAGCAGAUGAUGGCAUGGAAUUACAAGAAGUGGAAUUUAGAAUACAAGGAUAAUCCAUGAUUUCUCAUGCUUUCAUGUUUUAGUUUAACAGCAGCUAGAUAAUUUACAUGAUUUCUUUCAAGACCUUUCAGCUGUAUGCAUACUGUAUUUCAACUUACAAAUCAAAUUAUGUAUAUAAUUAUACAUAUCUAUUUUUGAAUGUGUGUAUAUACAUAUAUAUAUAUAUAUAUAUAUUUCUAAAAUCACCCUUGCAUAGAUUUGAUAAUUAUACAUAUAUUGUAUAUAUAGAUUAGAUAAGGGUAGGGGAGGAGUCUUUCAUCCUAUUGCCUGAAGAAGGUUAUAAAUUAGAUAACUGAAAUACUAACCCAAAGUUUUUGUUAGAUGAAAUUUAUUUCCAUUCGGAAUAUCAUACAUUAUCGGGUCAUCGGCCCACUCGUUAUUUCCUCUUUAUUACGAGUAAAUUUUUAAAUUUUAUGUAAAUUUAUUACAAGUGACUAAACUAUUUAUUAAAAAAAAAAGAUCUUAAAUUGAUAGAGACAUAUACAAACACGUAAUAACAAACUUUCAGUGAUAAAAUUACUACUAUUGGGACUCAAUUCUUAUUGAGACGUUUUUUUUUCUCUCUAGAGUAAUUCAUUUAAUAAGAAAAUGGCAGAAACAGUAGCAACAUUGAAGUGUGAAUAACAUUCUAUAAACCAUGAUAUGAUACUCGAAUAAAUGUAUCACAUUUACAAACAUAUUACACACAUAGAUAUGCUGAUAUAUAUCUAUCGAAAGAAAGCUCUCAAUUUAAAUAUCACACAGUAGAAUAUCGAAAUGGAUUUUUUUCGUAAAAUUUUAUUUCAAAAUUUGUAUUUGAUUUAGUUAUUGAGAGAAUAAAGAUUAAAACUGAAAAUCUAACUCCAAAAUUUUUUGAAAGUAAUACAAUUAAAAUUCUUUUGGAGUUAAAAAUUUUCAAUUUUUAUUAUUGAAUUUUUAUUCUCUCACAUCUAAAUCAAAAUACAAAUUUUAAAAAUAAGUUUCACUCGAAAUAAUCCAUUUAUUUCCAUCAUAACCCACAAUUAUUUACUUCAUUACUGAGCUAAUUAGCAUCACCAAGAAGCGUGA
This 5625-nucleotide long non-coding RNA is filed under the name Carica papaya (papaya). RNAcentral's name for it is "long non-coding RNA (CPAP_LNC009924)". Lineage: Eukaryota; Viridiplantae; Streptophyta; Magnoliopsida; Brassicales; Caricaceae. The record is from RNAcentral.